CCGGGCUUCCCCGAACUCGCCGCUGCAGCGCCGGACGACGACCAUGCCAGAGCCUGCCCGAUGAGUGCCCGCCUGCCGCGCCACGCAGACCACUGAGCCCAGUGAUCCAGUGUAAUGCUUGGAGGGACUAUGACAGGUGUGGAUGUCCAGAAAGAAACGCAGAAGGAGAAAAUCUACAGUCAGAAACAGGGAGGACAGUGGGCAAAUUGUGGUAAUGUUUCCCAUCUAGAACAUGGCUGAGUUUUUUCAGGAACAGAACUCAAAACCAGUUUUAUUAAUGUGAGAUUUUUCAGCAUGCAAUUCUCCAGGUAAGUUGUGGAUCCAAGGUAAUUUGCUUUAGUAUGUGAUGCUUGCAUGUGUUC
Molecule: long non-coding RNA, 362 nt
Organism: Parus major (Great Tit)
Lineage: Eukaryota; Metazoa; Chordata; Aves; Passeriformes; Paridae
Exons: 4
Source: RefSeq, a predicted model, not a curated record